AGUAACACGUAACCAAUCUACCUUACCGUCCGGGAUAACUAGCCGAAAGGUUAGCUAAUACCUGAUACGCCUAUUGAGCGGCAUCGUUUGAUAGUGAAAGCAGCAAUGCGCGGUUUGAGGAGGUUGCGGCCCAUUAGCCAGUUGGCGGGGUAACGGCCCACCAAAGCAACGAUGGGUAGCUGGUCUGAGAGGACGACCAGCCACACUGGGACUGAGACACGGCCCAG
Molecule: ribosomal RNA, 227 nt
Filed under: uncultured bacterium
Lineage: Bacteria
Description: partial 16S ribosomal RNA
Rfam family: Bacterial small subunit ribosomal RNA
Source: RNAcentral